RNAcentral lists this ribosomal RNA (270 nucleotides) under uncultured archaeon. RNAcentral describes it as "partial 16S ribosomal RNA". It matches the Rfam family "Archaeal small subunit ribosomal RNA", at positions 477 to 747 of the family's 1478-position model. The record is from RNAcentral.
CAGCACCUCAAGUGGUCAGGAUGAUUAUUGGGCCUAAAGCAUCCGUAGCCGGCGCUGUAAGUUUUCGGUUAAAUCUGUACGCUCAACGUACAGGCUGCCGGGAAUACUGCAGCGCUAGGGAGUGGGAGAGGUAGACGGUACUCGGUAGGAAGGGGUAAAAUCCUUUGAUCUAUUGAUGACCACCAGUGGCGAAGGCGGUCUACCAGAACACGUCCGACGGUGAGGGAUGAAAGCUGGGGGAGCAAACCGGAUUAGAUACCCGAGUAGUCC